Molecule: ribosomal RNA, 408 nt
Filed under: uncultured bacterium
Lineage: Bacteria
Description: partial 16S ribosomal RNA
Rfam family: Bacterial small subunit ribosomal RNA
Source: RNAcentral
GACGAACGCUGGCGGCGUGCUUAACACAUGCAAGUCGAACGAAGUGGCGAACGGGUGAGUAAUACGUGAGUAACCUGCCCUCCUUUUUGGGAUAAGCCUUGGAAACGGGGUCUAAUACCGAAUAAAGGGGGAUGGGCUCGCGGCCUAUCAGCUUGUUGGGGGGGUGAUGGCCUACCAAGGCGGUGACGGGUAGCCGGCCUGAGAGGGGGACCGGGGACAUUGGGACUGAGAGACGGCCCAGAGUCCUACGGGGGGCAGCAGGGGGGAAUAUGGCACAAUGGGGGAAACCCUGAUGCAGCAACGCCGCGGGCGGGAUGUCGGCCUUCGGGUUGUAAACCGCUUUCAGCCAUUACGCGGUAGUGGCAGAAGAAGCACCGGCUAACUACGUGCCAGCAGCCGCGGUAAUAC